This is a long non-coding RNA of Taeniopygia guttata (zebra finch), 4965 nucleotides long. The record is from Ensembl. NCBI's taxonomy places the organism in Eukaryota, Metazoa, Chordata, Aves, Passeriformes, Estrildidae.
CUUGGGGCCUGGACAUGUGUGGGAAGAAGAGGUGUAGGGGAGAGGCCUGGCACGGAUGGGAACUUUUUGGGGACAAUGUGGAAGAGGACAGUAGGUUUGGGGUAAGCUGUCUGUGGUGAGGACAUGGAUCCAAGUGGAGCUGCCUCUCUGGCCAGGGGCAGCUCAUCUACAGGCGGUGUCAGUCCCAGGAGGUGGUAGGUGACUGCUCUAGUGCAGCUGCCCUCACCAAAUGGGUGUAUUUCAGCCUGCCCUUGGCCGAACUGUAUCUGGGUUGUGGCCAGAAGAGGGGAAAAAAAAAUCUCAUGGGCUGAGCACAUGGUCUCCUAAACUGUACUCUUGGCUCUCGGUGGUGAGUGUUGAACUUGGUAGGUUGUUGAGCCUUUGUGUGCUUUGGUAUCUCCAUCUAUGAAGCAGAGAUAACAGUUGGCUUCAUGCAGGGAUUAAUUAUCACAUCUUGUAGUCACGUAUUUGUUUAUUUGUUUUUACUAUAGAUUACAGCUGGAGGAAUUCUAAACAGUUCACUUCUCCUUGUCAUGGUGUUUGAGCGCAUUGUGCUCCGUCUGAACAGAGGAAAUCACUGAGGAAGCAAAGGACUGGAUACCCUAAACAGUAACUGCAGUGGAGCCAUUUCCAGGGUAAGGAGUUUCCUAGUGUGAGUAAGGGAAUUGAACUUCACAAAGCUGUAAAUACCGUGUUGUCAUAGUUCACUUUAUAUAUAUAUAUAUAUAUAUUUACAUAUUUACAUAUUAAAAAAAAAAGACUGCAAAUACUUAGGAUUAUCAGUAUAGUGGGAUAAAGGUAACACUUCCCAUCUGAAGUGGUAUUGGCCUGGCCAGACAGGCUGUGGGGCAGAAAGACCCCCAGAAGUGUACAGGUAAUAAAUCAAUCACUGAAGUUUCCAUUCAGGGCCCAUACCUAACUGGAAUAAGGCACAUAAGCCAUGGGAUAUCUUCUGUCACCACAUGCAAGCUUUUUCCCUAUGCCUGACUGGUCAGCCUGGCUGGAUGUCAUGGUAAAGGGAGGUGACAUCAAAACCAAGCUAUUUUAGAUCUGCAACCUCAGUUCUGCAAAGGUGUUUAUUUUGAAAAUUCUAGUUUCCAUAGCGAUGUAGUGCUGUUCUCUCUCAUCUUUCUCCCAUUAACCCAAUCUUAGCAGCCAUUAGAUAAAUUAUCAGUGAGGCAAACCUUAGCAUUUUUUAAUCUUAAGUGAUUUUAUAUGUGUUGGUUCCUUAGUGAAUCAGAGGCAUUUAGUCAAGGAUUGACUCAUAUCCUUUCCUGGGGCUGACAUGAGGUCUAUUGCAGUAAAAAGAUGAUAAUGAAGAGUGAAUAUUAUUAAUUGGACUUGAUGAAUGAAUUGGUAGUGGGGGGGGCCUUAUGUCUAGAAUUCUCGUUCAGUUAUAUGUCUUUAGAUUUUACUUGGGUUCCAGUAUAACUUCAUUAAGACAUCAUAUUUUUGUUUCAUACAUGUAGUAAAUAAGCCCUUUUGUAAGGGUUGCUGUGUACUGCUGUUCCACUGCUUUUCUCCACCCCAGAGGUGACUUUUGGACACAGUUCCCCUUCCCAUUGUUAACAGAGCCAGUGCUCAUAGCUCAUUCCUUCAUUCUUUUCAAUACCUACAAAAAAUGCAGUCAUGAAAAUAAGACAAUAUCAUUUUUAUUGGUGUGUUUUGUUUGUUUGGUAGUUGUUGUUGUUUUAUUUUGUUUCCUGGUGCAUUUGGCCUUUCCUGGUCAAGAAACUACUAGUUUUGCCAGAAUAGUUAUGCAGGUUGGAAUGUAAAAAUCCCAGACUUAACCCUGCAGCAGUAAUGGUAUGCAAAAACCAAAGAUGUGGAGAUGAUUUAUUCUGAUGGUGUAGCUUGCCUUUUAAGGAGAUGAUUUAGUGAGUUCUUUUGCCUAUAUGAACUGUAUCUCCACCUGGGGAGCUAUGCCAGAAUAGCUGUUCCAUAAACCUUUGCUGUGAACAACAGCCUUUGUCCUGGAAUUCAGUCCUCAUGAGCAGGUAAGCAAUGAAUUACAGAAACUGUGUGGGAGAAGUAGAGUGGCACUGUGGACCAGAUUCCAAGAUAAGGAAGUAGGGCUAAAUACAGGCAAGGGUUAGCCUUUGACUCCUGCAGUGUCCUCACUUAGUAACAAAAAUACCCGAAUUGUGUAAAAUAGAACACAGAUCCAGUGAGCUGAGCAUGCAGGAACUCCUCUGUGGAAUCUGGAUUUUAACAGGCAUCUGCUGCACAGUGCCCAUUGCUUGCCCUGCCAGCCAGUCUGUUUUCCUCCCCAACUAGAGCUAUCAGCUGUCUCAUAUGUACUCAGUCCAUGAGUUCUUCAGAGAAGAUGGGUUUUCAAAAGUAAGUUCUUCACCCUGCUUCUAUUUAAGCUCCCCAGGCCCUGGAUAUCUGGCAGAAAUAGCCUCUUAAAUCCCAAGAGGUAUAAGUCACUUGUGCUCCAAAGAAUAGUAAUCCUAACAAAAUGUCUAUUUUAGAUGUCGAAUAUUUACUUUUAGCUGAAUUAUGCCCAUUAAUUGGAAAACUAAUAAUACUUUGCUCUUCACAAUGUAGCUUAUCAGUGAAUCCUGAUAUAUAUUUUAUGCAAAAUAUUAAAAGGUUGUUGCUUAUCUUUUAAUUUACCUUUUUUUCCCCCUUCAUGUUCCUGCAUUCCUAUGUUUUGAGAUAAGGUGAACAAAAGUUCUCCAGCUGCUAUCUCUAAGCUAUGCAUUCUGCAAUACCUUCACUGUGUUCUUUCUGAUUCACUCCCUCUGAGGUGAAUGGUCCCAGUCUUUUUAAAUUUCCUUCAGACAAGGGCUCUUCCCAAUCCCUAAUCUUGUAGUCUACCAUCAUUGCCCUGUGUCACAUAAUGAAGCAGCAGUCGCAGUAAUAACUCAAACAAUAACCCCUCCAGAUCUGGUGUUCUGUCAGUGCUGAGCAUUGUUAAGUGGGAGAUCCUGAGUGCAAACACAAGCAGAGGAGUCCCCAUAUACCAAAUGCAGACAUACCCAAUCCACAUUUAAAAACUUUUUUUUUUUUAAUUUCCUGUUUCAAAAUAACUGUUUGGUGUCCAAAUGGAAUGAGAAUGAAAUGUGACUAGCAGCCUUGUGACUGUUGUGUUGUAUAACAAGAUAAAAAGUGCUUGGGAUUUGUGGAUUGAGCUUUUUUCAUUUGUCUUCCAGAGGUCAAAGUCUACUGCAAGCAGUGACCGAUACAAUUCCCUGUGUAAGUCAGGCUGGACUGCCUGUGCCUCAGGUUCUAACAGCAGGGGAGUUUGUGCAGGAGCACCUUGGUAGGUGUUUGUCUGGAUUUCUCGGUGGUCCCUGUGAUGAUCCUAGGAAGCAGGAGGAGAUCCAGAAUUGUCUGAAAGCCAGGAUUCUCUGAAAUCCCAGAGUAGUGAUAAGACUUGUGGCUGAGGCCAACCUGCUAGCCUGCUUCCUAUUCUGCUUCUUGUACGUAUCCAAGAAGCUGUCUCCAGUUUAUACUGCUGUACUCUAGUAAACAAUUUUGCAUGCAGAUAUGGGCAGCAGAUGUUACUCAUGCCUGUGUGAACACUUCAGUGUUUUUACAACAGGGAUGAUCCUUGGAGUGAGUCCUGUUAAACAAUGGAUGUACCCACCAGAAGUCCCACAGGUUACAGCCAUUCUGUUACAGCUUGCUCAAAACACUUUGAAGGAUGGUCACGCCAUCCUUCUUUGGCCACUCAAGGGGAUUGACUCACAAAUACGAGCAAAAUAAAAUUAGAUGGCUUAAGUAGCUGCAACCCCAGCUGUGUCCCCGCUGCCCAAUUCCCAGAAGGUCAUCCCUGCAGCCAGGCUGGCUGUGGAAGGCAACUCCUGAGCUGCUGUAGUGACAGCCCAUUCUUCAGGGUGUUAAAAUUUGUCUGGCUCCUCUGUGACACAGUUUAGGAAGCUUAACCAGAAUAAAAAUGUGCACUUUUCCAUCUGAAGAAUUAUUUUUUAGUUUAAUUUCUCAAAUGGGCUCUGAGAAGCAGCAGCGUUGCUGUGAGGGCAGGGCAGGGAGAGAUGACCUUCCCUUUUGGGAGCAGCCAUUACGUCAGUUUUGCUGCCUCACAAAACUAUACCCUAUGGUUAUUUUUGGUGCUGGACUGCCUUAAUUUUCUGGAGAGUGAAUGAAGGAUUAGCAUAGUGUGCUUAUGAUAUUUGGAAACUAAGCUUUUAGGAAAAAAAAUCAUAAUUCAGCAUGUGAUGAGGUAGAAAUGCUUAAAUUGUUAAGGAAGGGAAAGAUGAGCAAAACGUGAAUUUUUUACAAUUUUUACAAUUCAGUUAGGGGGUUAAAUCCUUUUUUAAUGUUUUGGGUUUUGCUGCUUUUUAAGACCUCUAACCCAAUGCCUACUAUCCAGCUGCCUCUAGAGAGAGAAGUCUUUAAAGAGACCAGCUUUGUACCUAUAAAUAAUGUACACAGCAGAGUACAAAAAUGGAGUCAAGGAGAAGCUCCUCCUUACCUGAGUGUAACUGCAGCAGCUCUGUGAGAAUAGCUGUGGUCAGGCUGUGAGCAGCUCUCCUACCCUGUCAUCCAUCUUGACUAAACUGCUUCUGAGAACUAAUUCUGAGAUUCCAACACUUGAAUAUCAACUGGUAAAUCCCAACUGCCUUGUACUGAAACGCAUUAUUUGCCAGCAGCCAAAUGUGGCAAGGUUUUGAACAGUGUGGUUAUAAUCCUGCUUGGAACUAAAGGUCUGCUGGGAUGCUUCAAGUUGGAUGUGUUGGAAUAUGGAGAAUUUUGCAAGUCUGAACCCCUACUAUAAAUGAAAACAUUGUGGCAAAAAAUGUAAAUAAAUGCCACACAUACUUUGUGUAAGAGCCCUUCCCAAUACCUAUAAAUAUGGUAAUUUUGGUGUUUCCCAAUUCUGAGUUUUAAACAGGAGACAGACACAUUAAAUACUCCAAAGCAAGGAUUUUAUUUUUUUCAUGGAUUAAUUUUAUAAUUUCACUUCUAACUUACCUGAAAAGAAUUAAUGGAAACUAA